GUCUACACCCAUACCACCCUGAAUGCGCCAGAUCUCAUCUGAUAUCCAAAGCUAAGCAGGGUUGGGCCUGGUUAGUACCUGGAUAAGAGGCCAAAGAGGGAAGAAACAUGUAAGGAAAGAAG
RNAcentral lists this ribosomal RNA (122 nucleotides) under Nannospalax galili (Upper Galilee mountains blind mole rat). The record is from RNAcentral. Lineage: Eukaryota; Metazoa; Chordata; Mammalia; Rodentia; Spalacidae.